AUUGAACGCUGGCGGCAUGCCUUACACAUGCAAGUCGAACGGUAAUAGGUUAAGCUGACGAGUGGCGAACGGGUGAGUAAUAUAUCGGAACGUGCCCAGUCGUGGGGGAUAACUGCUCGAAAGAGCAGCUAAUACCGCAUACGACCUGAGGGUGAAAGCGGGGGAUCGCAAGACCUCGCGCGAUUGGAGCGGCCGAUCUCAGAUUAGGUAGUUGGUGGGGUAAAGGCCCACCAAGGCAACGAUCUGUAGGUGGUCUGAGAGGAGGACCAGCCACACUGGGACUGAGACACCGCCCAGACUCCUACGGGAGGCAGCAGUGGGGAAUUUUGGACAAUGGGCGCAAGCCUGAUCCAGCCAUGCCGCGUGCGGGAAGAAGGCCUUCGGGUUGUAAACCGCUUUUGUCAGGGAAGAAAAGGUUCUGGUUAAUACCUGGGACUCAUGACGGUACCUGAAGAAUAAGCACCGGCUAACUACGUGCCAGCAGCCGCCGCAG
RNAcentral lists this ribosomal RNA (493 nucleotides) under uncultured bacterium. Its description in RNAcentral is "partial 16S ribosomal RNA". It matches the Rfam family "Bacterial small subunit ribosomal RNA", at positions 30 to 523 of the family's 1533-position model. The record is from RNAcentral.